GACGAACGCUGGCGGCGUGCUUAACACGUGCAAGUCGAACGGAAAGGCCCUGCUUUUGUUGUGUGCUCGAGUGGCGAACGGGUCAGUAACACGUGAGUAACCUGCCUUUGCCUUUGGGAUCACUUCAGGAAACUGGGGCUACUACCGCUUAGUCGCUCCUGCUGCAUGGUGGGGGUUCGAAAGUUUCGGCGGUUGGGGAUGGACUCGCGGCUUAUCUGCUUGCUGGUGGGGUAGUGGCUUACCAAGGCUUUGACGGGUAGCCGGCCUGAGAGGGUGACCGGCCACAUUGGGACUGAGAUACGGCCCAGACUCCUACGGGAGGCAGCAGUGGGGAAUAUUGCACAAUGGGCGGAAGCCUGAUGCAGCAACGCCGCGUGCGGGAUGACGGCCUUCGGGUUGUAAACCGCUUUCGCCUGUGACGAAGCGUGAGUGACGGUAAUGGGUAAAGAAGCACCGGCUAACUACGUG
Molecule: ribosomal RNA, 468 nt
Filed under: uncultured bacterium
Lineage: Bacteria
Description: partial 16S ribosomal RNA
Rfam family: Bacterial small subunit ribosomal RNA
Source: RNAcentral